GAUGAACGCUGGCGGCGUGCUUAACACAUGCAAGUCGAACGGAAAGGCUCCUGCUUGCAGGGGUGCUCGAGUGGCGAACGGGUGAGUAACACGUGGGUGAUCUGCCCUGCACUUCGGGAUAAGCCUGGGAAACUGGGUCUAAUACCGGAUAGGACGAUGGUGUGGAUGCCAUUGUGGAAAGUUUUUCGGUGUGGGAUGAGCUCGCGGCCUAUCAGCUUGUUGGUGGGGUAAUGGCCUACCAAGGCGUCGACGGGUAGCCGGCCUGAGAGGGUGUACGGCCACAUUGGGACUGAGAUACGGCCCAGCCUCCUACGGGAGGCAGCAGUGGGGAAUAUUGCACAAUGGGCGCAAGCCUGAUGCAGCGACGCCGCGUGGGGGAUGACGGCCUUCGGGUUGUAAACUCCUUUCGCUAGGGACGAAGCGCAAGUGACGGUACCUGGAGAAGAAGCACCGGCUAACUACGUG
RNAcentral lists this ribosomal RNA (465 nucleotides) under uncultured bacterium. Its description in RNAcentral is "partial 16S ribosomal RNA". It matches the Rfam family "Bacterial small subunit ribosomal RNA", at positions 28 to 507 of the family's 1533-position model. The record is from RNAcentral.